This 72-nucleotide transfer RNA is filed under the name Candidatus Omnitrophota bacterium. RNAcentral describes it as "tRNA-Thr". It matches the Rfam family "tRNA". From Rfam's summary of the family: Transfer RNA (tRNA) molecules are approximately 80 nucleotides in length. Their secondary structure includes four short double-helical elements and three loops (D, anti-codon, and T loops). The record is from RNAcentral. Lineage: Bacteria; Pseudomonadati; Candidatus Omnitrophota.
GCCAACAUGGCCUAACGGUAUGGCAAGCCCCCUGUAAGGGCUAGAUUGUCGGUUCGACUCCGGCUGUUGGCU